RNAcentral lists this ribosomal RNA (423 nucleotides) under uncultured bacterium. RNAcentral describes it as "bacterial SSU rRNA". It matches the Rfam family "Bacterial small subunit ribosomal RNA", at positions 207 to 622 of the family's 1533-position model. The record is from RNAcentral.
AAGACCUUGCACUUUUGGAGCGGCCGAUGUCUGAUUAGCUAGUUGGUGGGGUAAUGGCCUACCAAAGCUUCGAUCAGUAGCUGGUCUGAGAGGACGGCCAGCCACACUGGGACUGAGACGCGGCCCAGACUCCUACGGGAGGCAGCAGUGGGGAAUUUUGGACAAUGGGCGCAAGCCUGAUCCAGCCAUGCCGCGUGAGUGAAGAAGGCCUUCGGGUUGUAAAGCUCUUUCAGUCGGGAAGAAAAGGUUGCGACUAAUAAUCGCAAUUCAUGACGGUACCGAAAGAAGAAGCACCGGCUAACUACGUGCCAGCAGCCGCGGUAAUACGUAGGGUGCGAGCGUUAAUCGGAAUUACUGGGCGUAAAGGGUGCGCAGGCGGUUUUGUAAGUCAGAUGUGAAAUCCCCGGGCUUAACCUGGGAACU